AUUGGUUUCUCUCGGAUCGUAGCCAGCUAUUCUGUUGUAUAUAUAUAUAUAUAUAUAUAUAUAUAUAUAUAUAUAUAUAUAUAUAUAUAUAUAUAUACAACAGAAUAGCUGGCUACGAUCCGAGAGAAACCAAU
This is a non-coding RNA of Paramuricea clavata, 134 nucleotides long. Lineage: Eukaryota; Metazoa; Cnidaria; Anthozoa; Malacalcyonacea; Plexauridae. The record is from the annotation of a GenBank genome assembly.